CCUACGGGUGGCAGCAGUGAGGAAUAUUGGUCAAUGGGCGGGAGCCUGAACCAGCCAAGCCGCGUGAGGGAAGAAGGUACAGCGUAUCGUAAACCUCUUUUGUCAGGGAACAAAGGCGGGGACGAGUCCCCGGAUGAGGGUACCUGAAGAAAAAGCAUCGGCUAACUCCGUGCCAGCAGCCGCGGUAAUACGGAGGAUGCGAGCGUUAUCCGGAUUUAUUGGGUUUAAAGGGUGCGCAGCGGGCUUGUUAAGUUCGCGGGAAAAGUACGGGGCUAAACCCUGGCGAGCCGUUGAAACUGGCGGGCUGGAGGUGGGGAGAAGUACGCGGAAUGCGCGGUGUAGCGGUGAAAUGCUUAGAUAUCGCGCAGAACCCCGAUUGCGAAGGCAGCGUACCGGCUCCAAACUGACGCUGAGGCACGAAAGCGUGGGUAUCGAACAGGAUUAGAUACCCUGGUAGUC
Molecule: ribosomal RNA, 459 nt
Filed under: uncultured bacterium
Lineage: Bacteria
Description: partial 16S ribosomal RNA
Rfam family: Bacterial small subunit ribosomal RNA
Source: RNAcentral